This 287-nucleotide unclassified non-coding RNA is filed under the name uncultured Sordariomycetes. Its description in RNAcentral is "sequence contains 5.8S rRNA gene, ITS2, 28S rRNA gene". Lineage: Eukaryota; Fungi; Ascomycota; Sordariomycetes. The record is from RNAcentral.
AACGCACACUGCGCCUCUCAGUAUCCUGGGAGGCAUGCCUGUCCGAGCGUCGUUUCAACCCUCGCGCCCCAGUUGGCGCGGUGUUGGGGAUCUACAGCAGCUGCCUCACGGCGGCGGUAGGCCCUGAAAACCAGUGGCGGACCCGUAGCGGCCCUCUCCUUGCGUAGUAGCAUUCGCCUCGCAUCGGGAGCCCUCGGGCCUUUCCAGCCUCUAAACCCCCAUCAAGCCCGCCUCACGGCGGCACCAAGGUUGACCUCGGAUCAGGUAGGAAUACCCGCUGAACUUAA